This is a non-coding RNA of Vigna umbellata (rice bean), 437 nucleotides long. The record is from RefSeq and is a predicted model, not a curated record. Lineage: Eukaryota; Viridiplantae; Streptophyta; Magnoliopsida; Fabales; Fabaceae.
AUGCAGCUACUUCCACCAAGAUGAUGAUGUGAUUCCCUCAUUUGAAUUAGGGCCCAAAACAAGAUCAUACUUGUACUUCUAGUGCGCAUGAACCGAUUGGUUGUUGAGACUAUUGAUGGUAUACUAUCGUACAGGUAUUGUAGAUACGAGAUCCAACGGAGAACUGUUUUUCACCUCCUAAUUCACUUUUUCGUUGACAUUCGUAUUCCAAGAAGCACGGAGCCUGAAAUUGAACUCAGCAAAUAACUACAUAUACAGUGAGUGAACAGUCAUUUUAAGUGUUAGGGCAUUCUGUACUUUCAUAAUUCUUUCCAUGUUCCGUCCUCUUGCAUCUGAUAUGAGGCUACGAUUACAAGCCACACAUGCACAUGGAGAAAGUAUAAAAAUUACAUUUGUAAUUUAUAAUAUAUUUCAAGGGAGAACAACCACUAAGGUUA